GGAUGCGAUCAUACCAGCACUAAAGCACCGGAUCCCAUCAGAACUCCGUAGUUAAGCGUGCUUGGGCGAGAGUAGUACUAGGAUGGGUGACCUCCUAGCAAGUCCUCGUGUUGCAUUCC
Molecule: ribosomal RNA, 119 nt
Filed under: Triticum aestivum (bread wheat)
Lineage: Eukaryota; Viridiplantae; Streptophyta; Magnoliopsida; Poales; Poaceae
Source: RNAcentral